Molecule: ribosomal RNA, 707 nt
Filed under: uncultured fungus
Lineage: Eukaryota; Fungi
Description: eukaryotic LSU rRNA
Rfam family: 5.8S ribosomal RNA (bases 321-475)
Source: RNAcentral
UUUUAUUACCAACCAACCGCGUGAUUUAAUUGAAUUAAAUUUACCCGUCUUGAAACACGGACCACCUGUCUAUUUACACGGAGUGAUGAGUGUGUUUGUAUGUGUGAAAGCAUAUAGAAGCAUACGGUGUAUUUAGGCUUGUAAUGCUUCGACAUUACGGGAUUAUCUCUCUUUCAAGCUAUCAAUCUUACCAAUGUUCCCUUCAUCGCUGGAACGAACAAACCCCUUUCACCCCUUUAUAACUAACUAGACUGAUAUAUUUUCUGAGAUAGCAUUCAUUUGUUAUUUCUCGAAAUGAUUUUAAUCAAAUAUCUAAGCACAACUCUUAGCAACGGAUAUCUUGGUUCUCGCAACGAUGAAGAACGCAGCGAAAUGCGAUAUGUAAUGCGAAUUGCAGAAUACAGUGAAUCAUCAAAUCUUUGAACGCAAAUGGCGGUCUCGGGUUAGUCCUGAGACCACGCCUCUCUCAGUAUCGGUUCAACCUCACCUCGGAUGCGUAAUUAUAAUGCAAAUUAUAUUUACUUACUGCCGGAUAAUGAGAGUAAUAUUGCUAGCAAUAGCGGUAUUUCUCUUUAAAUGCGUUGAGCUCUGAUCUCCUAGUAAUUUGUUAGCAUUCAUUUGUUGACAAUAGCCUAUUUUGCUAUUUCCUUUCCUUUCAUUACUAGUGAACGUGGAUAACUUCAUGCCUUCGGGUGUGGAUUGAAACG